Molecule: unclassified non-coding RNA, 348 nt
Filed under: soil metagenome
Description: partial contains 5.8S ribosomal RNA, internal transcribed spacer 2, and large subunit ribosomal RNA
Rfam family: 5.8S ribosomal RNA (bases 1-120)
Source: RNAcentral
GAUGAAGAACGCAGCGAACUGCGAUAAGUAAUGUGAAUUGCAGAAUUCAGUGAAUCAUCGAGUCUUUGAACGCACAUUGCGCCCCCUGGUAUUCCGGGGGGCAUGCCUGUCCGAGCGUCAUUGCCGCCCUCAAGCACGGCUUGUGUGUUGGGCCCCCGCCCCCCGGCUUCGGGGGGCGGGCCCGAAAGGCAGCGGCGGCACCGCGUCCGGUCCUCGAGCGUAUGGGGCUUCGUCACCCGCUCUGUAGGCCCGGCCGGCGCCCGCCGGCGACCCCAAUCAAUCUUUCCAGGUUGACCUCGGAUCAGGUAGGGAUACCCGCUGAACUUAAGCAUAUCAAUAAGCGGAGGA